CACUAAGAAGCUAAACUGGUAUUAAGCAUUAGCCUUUUAAGCUAAAAACUGGUGACUACCCCCCACCCUUAGUGA
RNAcentral lists this transfer RNA (75 nucleotides) under Pseudaesopia japonica (wavyband sole). RNAcentral's name for it is "tRNA-Lys". It matches the Rfam family "tRNA". From Rfam's summary of the family: Transfer RNA (tRNA) molecules are approximately 80 nucleotides in length. Their secondary structure includes four short double-helical elements and three loops (D, anti-codon, and T loops). Lineage: Eukaryota; Metazoa; Chordata; Actinopteri; Pleuronectiformes; Soleidae. The record is from RNAcentral.